UCUCUGUCUCCUAACUUCAUAAUUGCAUUGAUGUCAGUGGAGUCAUUUUUGUAACUUUCCCUAUGUUUGACAGCCACACUUCAGGAUAGUCAGACAGGGCAGACGGUGAAUCUUCAGAAGAAGAUUGAGGGUCUUUACCUCAGUGUGAAACAGAGGAAACACUACCUCUAUCGUUUGAUAGGUAAGCACCAACAACAAUAUGACCUCAAACAUUAUUAAUCAAGCAGUAAAACUGAUUUGUGAAAGAAAAUGCAUUUGUCAUCAUAUCAGACCAUGUUUAUGAUCAAAUGUAGGCAUGACGUAUGUUAUUCAUUGAUCUAAUGCAAAACAUUUCAUUAAACUGAGAAAUUACGUGACCAUAAACAACAGAUUAUCUUGUGAGCCACAACUCUGCAUGCCUUGUACAGUAUAUCAUAAUUCUAUGACAGAUCUGUCAGAGUGGAUUCUCAUCUCUUCACCCAAUAGACACAGUUAUACUAAGUCAUACUUAAGUUCCCCACAAUUUUUAAUGCAUCAGUAUUUACACUCCAAUAUAUUAAACUAUUUAUUGUGAUUCUUUGGCGUCACAUUUUGGUUUCUAGUUUCUUUUGUCCAUGGCUGUGCCACAGCUGUAUGGUUGCGCCCCGACAGUGACAAGUGGCAAGCAGGACAUCCUGAUUGGAAUAAAAAAGCUGCCACAACCUGUCCGUUCCUCCUCUGAACUGCUCCGGGUGUCUGAGACAUUGGACAGUGGGGCUGGACGAACCUGUAAAGAGUGGCUACUGGCCAGCCACCGUGACUCACCAGACCAUCUUCACAGUGGACCUCUUCAAGUCCUUUGAAGACAUGAAGGUGUUGGCCCCAGGAUUCUCCCGUCAAGCCUUUGUGGGAAUGCUUGAUGGAAGAACUAAGCACUUUGGCAGGAGUGGAAAGAUAUGUGGUGACACAUUCCAGAAGGCAUUCUUUGAGUGGACUUUACGGCACGGCUUGAAAUAGACAAGUUUUGUGUAAGCGAUCUCCUCCAAUGUCAUGCCUGGAUAGGAUGGGAAUCACAAGCAAUAAAGCCUCAAGGUUUGUACUACCUUCUUAUGUGUUGGAUGUUUUGUUCAGGGAAUAAUUAUACCUUCUUAAAGUGCAUGCUGUUCUUCUUUUUGUAAUAAAGUAUAUGUUUGUGGUGAUUGUGGUGGUUAAUUUCUGUAUUACCAAAUGAGGAGAGAGACAAACUUC
This is a long non-coding RNA of Oncorhynchus tshawytscha (Chinook salmon), 1206 nucleotides long. RefSeq lists it as uncharacterized. The transcript has 3 exons. NCBI's taxonomy places the organism in Eukaryota, Metazoa, Chordata, Actinopteri, Salmoniformes, Salmonidae. The record is from RefSeq and is a predicted model, not a curated record.